Molecule: ribosomal RNA, 497 nt
Filed under: uncultured bacterium
Lineage: Bacteria
Description: partial 16S ribosomal RNA
Rfam family: Bacterial small subunit ribosomal RNA
Source: RNAcentral
GAUGAACGCUGGCGGCGUGCCUAAUACAUGCAAGUCGAGCGAACAGAUAAGGAGCUUGCUCCUUUGACGUUAGCGGCGGACGGGUGAGUAACACGUGGGUAACCUACCUAUAAGACUGGAAUAACUCCGGGAAACCGGGGCUAAUGCCGGAUAACAUUUAGAACCGCAUGGUUCUAAAGUGAAAGAUGGUUUUGCUAUCACUUAUAGAUGGACCCGCGCCGUAUUAGCUAGUUGGUAAGGUAACGGCUUACCAAGGCAACGAUACGUAGCCGACCUGAGAGGGUGAUCGGCCACACUGGAACUGAGACACGGUCCAGACUCCUACGAGAGGCAGCAGUAGGGAAUCGGACGCAAUGGGCGAAAGCCUGACGGAGCAACGCCGCGUGAGAGAUGACGGUCUUCGGAGCGUAAAACUCUGUUAUUAGGGAAGAACAAAUGUGUAAGUAACUGUGCACGUCUUGACGGUACCUAAUCAGAAAGCCACGGCUAACUACGUG